Molecule: ribosomal RNA, 464 nt
Filed under: uncultured bacterium
Lineage: Bacteria
Description: bacterial SSU rRNA
Rfam family: Bacterial small subunit ribosomal RNA
Source: RNAcentral
AUUGAACGCUGGCGGCAUGCCUUACACAUGCAAGUCGAACGGCAGCACGGGAGCAAUCCUGGUGGCGAGUGGCGAACGGGUGAGUAAUAUAUCGGAACGUGCCCAGUCGUGGGGGAUAACGUAGCGAAAGCUACGCUAAUACCGCAUACGAUCUAUGGAUGAAAGCGGGGGAUCGCAAGACCUCGCGCGAUUGGAGCGGCCGAUAUCAGAUUAGGUAGUUGGUGGGGUAAAAGCCUACCAAGCCUUCGAUCUGUAGCUGGUCUGAGAGGACGACCAGCCACACUGGAACUGAGACACGGUCCAGACUCCUACGGGAGGCAGCAGUGGGGAAUUUUGGACAAUGGGCGCAAGCCUGAUCCAGCAAUGCCGCGUGCAGGAUGAAGGCCUUCGGUUGUAACGUAGCUUUUGUACGGUAACGAAACGGUUACGUCUCUAAUACAGGGGCGUAAGUGACGGUACCGUAA